This 452-nucleotide ribosomal RNA is filed under the name uncultured Enterobacteriaceae bacterium. Its description in RNAcentral is "bacterial SSU rRNA". It matches the Rfam family "Bacterial small subunit ribosomal RNA", at positions 929 to 1382 of the family's 1533-position model. The record is from RNAcentral. Lineage: Bacteria; Pseudomonadati; Pseudomonadota; Gammaproteobacteria; Enterobacterales; Enterobacteriaceae.
GCGGUGGAGCAUGUGGUUUAAUUCGAUGCAACGCGAAGAACCUUACCUGGUCUUGACAUCCACGGAAGUUUUCAGAGAUGAGAAUGUGCCUUCGGGAACCGUGAGACAGGUGCUGCAUGGCUGUCGUCAGCUCGUGUUGUGAAAUGUUGGGUUAAGUCCCGCAACGAGCGCAACCCUUAUCCUUGUUGCCAGCGGUCCGGCCGGGAACUCAAAGGAGACUGCCAGUGAUAAACUGGAGGAAGGUGGGGAUGACGUCAAGUCAUCAUGGCCCUUACGACCAGGGCUACACACGUGCUACAAUGGCGCAUACAAAGAGAAGCGACCUCGCGAGAGCAAGCGGACCUCAUAAAGUGCGUCGUAGUCCGGAUUGGAGUCUGCAACUCGACUCCAUGAAGUCGGAAUCGCUAGUAAUCGUGGAUCAGAAUGCCACGGUGAAUACGUUCCCGGGCCUU